CAAAUGGGGGUGUCAUUUAUCUAUGCCAACCCGACUGCCCUCUGCCCUCCCUCCAGUGCUCUUUGCCCUCACCCAGUAACCUAAUUUGCAUUUGAAAAAGAGCAGCGGUUGCAAUAGCACCUUGAGUUCCAGCCUUCAGCCAGCCUGGAGAGUGCAUCAGGAAUUUGGGUGGUCAUCUGCUGGGAAUCAGCAGUAUGCAGAAGACAGCAGGAGUACAAGUGGAGACCAUUUUAAGUGUUAUUUCUCAGUCCUGUGAAAACCCAGAACUACCAUGUCUGAGAUCUUGAGCUGUUUCCACUUCAUUCUGCAGUGAAAUUACCAAUGCAUCAGGACAUGAGCCUGAAUGUCGGGCGAAGAGCAUCAGUAAUUCUGCACCCACUUUACAUAUGAAGAAGCUGAAGUCUUGCAAAGUGGCCCAAGGUCUCCCAGGGAUGACCUGCUGGAAGCAAGCUAUGAAUCUAAGUCUCACCCCAAAGCUGCCUGUGUUCUCUUGUGAAAAGAACCACAAGCCAAAAGUUGGAUCAAUACCCAAGGACAGACACCUCUCUAAGAGCUGUGAUUGAGCUUGCAUACCUCACCCAACAGCGCCUCAGAUGAAGAAGAUCCUGCGGCAUCCCUGGUAUCCAUGGCCUUUCAUUGCUCCUGGAAUUCUUGCUCCUUUUUGAGUGAGUGUGCUUUGUUCGUUUCAUAAUUGGACUCUUAAUUCAGCAAUAGCUCUGGCCAGUUGCUAUUAAUGAUCACUUUGCUCUCCUCUUCCCAUAGCAAUUAUUAAUUAAACUGCUCAGAGAGUCAUAAUGAGAAAUUAAAGACUGUAAUAAUAUUUUAGGAAGCAGUAUCCCAUGAUCUUGGAGGCCUAUAUUCUGUUCCAAAGGCAGAGCAGAGUUUGUUUAAUUCACAAACAUUUACUGAGUCCCCUUUAGGUAGAAGGCCCCAUUCAGUUUCCAGGCAUACACCAAGGAUGGCAUCUGCUCUAGGGAGGAGCUGAAGGUCAUGGUGUGGAGUGUUUUUUGAUCCAAGUCUUAACUCUUAUUGAUUCUCCUUUCUCAACUUGUACCCUUCCAUCGAGAAUCAGUUCCAACUUUCCCUUCUACUUUCAUUACCUACCGUUCCCUCCCACAACCUUAAGAAGCCCUCAGGUUAAUUGCUCCUUUUCUGAGUUCCUGUGAUAACUUUGUAUAAAUCUCUAUUAUAGAACUAAUAUUUUUAUCAUCAUUAAAAAAAUAAAAAACAAC
Molecule: long non-coding RNA, 1232 nt
Filed under: Callithrix jacchus (white-tufted-ear marmoset)
Lineage: Eukaryota; Metazoa; Chordata; Mammalia; Primates; Cebidae
Description: lncRNA (ENSCJAG00000068025.2)
Source: RNAcentral